Molecule: ribosomal RNA, 397 nt
Filed under: uncultured bacterium
Lineage: Bacteria
Description: partial 16S ribosomal RNA
Rfam family: Bacterial small subunit ribosomal RNA
Source: RNAcentral
AUACGUAGGGGGCGAGCGUUGUCCGGAAUGAUUGGGCGUAAAGGGCGCGUAGGCGGCGCGGUAAGUCUGGAGUGAAAGUCCUGCUUUCAAGGUGGGAAUUGCUUUGGAUACUGCCGCGCUUGAGUGCAGGAGAGGUUAUCGGAAUUCCCGGUGUAGCGGUGAAAUGCGUAGAGAUCGGGAGGAACACCAGUGGCGAAGGCGGGUAACUGGACUGCAACUGACGCUGAGGCGCGAAAGUGUGGGGAGCAAACAGGAUUAGAUUCCCUGGUAGUCCACACUGUAAACGAUGAAUGCUAGGUGUAAGAGGUAUCGACCCCUUUUGUGCCGGAGUCAACACAAUAAGCAUUCCGCCUGGGGAGUACGGCCGCAAGGUUGAAACUCAAAUGAAUUGACGGGG